Long non-coding RNA from Patella vulgata (common limpet), 2194 nucleotides. RefSeq lists it as uncharacterized. The record is from RefSeq and is a predicted model, not a curated record. NCBI's taxonomy places the organism in Eukaryota, Metazoa, Mollusca, Gastropoda, Patellidae. The transcript is spliced from 6 exons.
UUCUAGCAUACUAGAUAUACUAUAAAGUCGUACCUGGUCAGCCGCCAAAGCUGGUCUGAUUUACAUGAAAAACCAAAGCCAAUUUAUACUAAAUUCACUUUGAUAACACGGGUAAUUAAUAAUAUGGAACAAAAGGACUUAUGUAAAGACUACAUAAUUAAAUCAUUUGUCAUUGAUAGAUUAUCUCACUAUAAGCAUAUGGCAGGCUUCAGAACAAUUGAUGUGUGACAGCUAACGCUAGUAAACGUCAUUAGUGAUCAGCGGAUUAUCUAACUUGACCAUUAUACAUAUGGCAGCAUCUGGUUCUUUAUUAAAUGAACAAUAGUGUGGUCAAUUAGAGAACAGUGGAGAGUUUAUUACACAUGCGGUCAUAGGAUAAUUAUAAUCUUUUACCUAUCACUGUCUCUCACACUAUGUAACAAAAGAGUAAAAGUUGGGGAAAGGCGCCAUCACAUUUUUUGUACUGAUAGACAGAUGCAACUACUCGCACGUGCAAAAACUUGGUAUAUGGAUGCAACUUUUCGGGUGGUGAACAAGCCAUGGUCUCAGCUGUUUUCCAUACACGCCUUCAUUAAGACUGGAGAGACCACCCGACAGUUACCAUUGGUGUUUUGUGUAAUGUCGGGUAAAAGCCAAGACGACUAUUAUAAGUUUCCAUAUUAGAUGCCAUAGCAAAUCAAAGAUCAUAUAAUAAAAUAAGUCAAAAAACCCAAAUAUGGAAAAAGAAAGUGCUGAAGAAAUGGUGAUUUGAGCACCUAUGCUUUCUCAUAGGUGUUUUUGGAGGUUUCCAUAUUAGAUGCCAUAGCAAAUCAAAGAUCAUAUAAUAAAAUAAGUCAAAAAACCCAAAUAUGGAAAAAGAAAGAGCUGAAGAAAUGGUGAUUUGAGCACCUAUGCUUUCUCAUAGGUGUUUUUGGAGGUUUCCAUAUUAGAUGCCAUAGCAAAUCAAAGAUCAUAUAAUAAAAUAAGUCAAAAAACCCAAAUAUGGGAAAAGAAAGAGCUGAAGAAAUGGUGAUUUGAGCACCUAUGAUUUCUCAUAGGUGUUUUUGGAGGUUAACUACAUCAGAAAGAUGAAGACAGUUGGAAAUGGCUAUUCAUAUUAUGGAAACUUUUUCUCACAGAGCUUGAUAAUCAGGUAAAAUGCUGGAAGAUUAUUUGAUGUAUGAUAACAACAAGAGAUCCCAAGCAUCAAUUUAUUUUAUAAUUCUGGAAAAGAAUGCAUUUGACCCAAUUUUUGAAUAUUUUUUUUUGUUUUUACUGUUAAAUAUUCAUCCCAAACACAAUUAGAUUUUAAUUCUCUACAGAAAUUUAUGUAUAAUAUAGAAUGUAAAGUGACAUAUAAUUCACUUAGAAUUUGGUCGGAAAUCAUAAAGUAUUUAAUAGGCAUAGUCUAGAAACCAAAUGUAGAUCAAAUAUACCCAGAAUUACAAAAAACCUUGACCUACAUUAAGGUGACUUUCCCUUGCUUAUGAAAUGAAAUAGGGUUUAAUAUCCUACUUUUCUGUGUUAUUAUGGUGAUUCUGCCCUACAACCUACUCUUAUAUCAAAUAUUUCAACUGUCAAGGGUUGUUUAAAGGGAACCCAGGAGGGCCGAAUGGUUAACAAACGCACAUUGGAUCAGAAGGGUCUGUCAUUGAGUCAGAUAAUUCAAUUGUCAAGGGUUCUUUAAAGUAAACGCAGUGGGGGUAGUUUCAAUUCUGGGCUUAUACCCAAUUAUCCCUUGCCAUGUCCUACACUACUGACGUGUGGGAACUAUGUCGGAAAAUCCAGUUGAAAUUUCUCGGCCAAUGCACUCACUGAACCACAGUGGCUCCUCCUUGCUUUUGACUUGUGAUUAUUUAUAUAUAUUUUGUACAUAUUAUUUAAUGUUUGCGAUUUUCUCUGAUAUUUUUUUAUUUUUCAAUCCUGUAAUCUUGAUGCUUUGCUCCUUUUAUGUACAAAAUAUUCAUUUUGUUUGUUUUGUUUUUUUUAAUGAGGAAAAGGUUCUACAUCAUUUUAUUACUCCUGCAAAAUAGUGCAUUUUCCUUUUGUUAGUUUUCUGUGUAUGCUAGUUAUUUCUAGAUGCCUCACAAAUCACUUGUAAUAUGACUUUGUAGCACUUUUCAGUUUCUGAAAGUAUUUCAAUUUAGUGCAUAAUUAAUCUAAUUAGGGCUUGGUUUGGAUGUUAUUAAAUUUAGAUAUAUUUGAAUUAUAUAUU